UUGGAGGGCAAGUCUGGUGCCAGCAGCCGCGGUAAUUCCAGCUCCAAUAGCGUAUAUUAAAGUUGUUGCAGUUAAAAAGCUCGUAGUUGAACUUCAGACCUGACCGGGCGGUCCGCCUAACGGUGUGUACUGUCUGGCCGGGCCUUACCUCUUGGUGAGCCGGCAUGCCCUUCACUGGGUGUGUCGGGGAACCAGGACCUUUACCUUGAGAAAUUAGAGUGUUCAAAGCAGGCUUACGCCGGAAUACAUUAGCAUGGAAUAAUAAAAUAGGACGUGUCGG
RNAcentral lists this ribosomal RNA (280 nucleotides) under uncultured fungus. Its description in RNAcentral is "partial 18S ribosomal RNA". It matches the Rfam family "Eukaryotic small subunit ribosomal RNA", at positions 548 to 835 of the family's 1831-position model. The record is from RNAcentral. Lineage: Eukaryota; Fungi.